GCCCCCCUCAAGAUGAGAUUUCCCAACUAGUAAGACCCCUUGAAGACGACGAGGUAGAUAGGUUGGAGGUGGAAGUGCAGCAAUGCAUGGAGCUGACCAAUACUAAUCGGUCGAGGGCUUAUCCAAAU
Molecule: ribosomal RNA, 128 nt
Filed under: Moraxella catarrhalis
Lineage: Bacteria; Pseudomonadati; Pseudomonadota; Gammaproteobacteria; Moraxellales; Moraxellaceae
Description: partial 23S ribosomal RNA
Rfam family: Bacterial large subunit ribosomal RNA
Source: RNAcentral